Molecule: ribosomal RNA, 497 nt
Filed under: uncultured bacterium
Lineage: Bacteria
Description: partial 16S ribosomal RNA
Rfam family: Bacterial small subunit ribosomal RNA
Source: RNAcentral
GAUGAACGCUGGCGGCGUGCCUAAUACAUGCAAGUCGAGCGAACGGACGAGAAGCUUGCUUCUCUGAUGUUAGCGGCGGACGGGUGAGUAACACGUGGAUAACCUACCUAUAAGUCUGGGAUAACUUCGGGAAACCGGAGCUAAUACCGGAUAAUAUUUUGAACGGCAUGGUUCAAAAGUGAAAGACGGUCUUGCUGUCACUUAUAGAUGGAUCCGCGCUGCAUUAGCUAGUUGGUAAGGUAACGGCUUACCAAGGCAACGAUGCAUAGCCGACCUGAGAGGGUGAUCGGCCACACUGGAACUGAGACACGGUCCAGACUCCUACGGGAGGCAGCAGUAGGGAAUCUUCCGCAAUGGGCGAAAGCCUGACGGAGCAACGCCGCGUGAGUGAUGAAGGUCUUCGGAUCGUAAAACUCUGUUAUUAGGGAAGAACAUAUGUGUAAGUAACUGUGCACAUCUUGACGGUACCUAAUCAGAAAGCCACGGCUAACUACGUG